UACGUAGGGUGCGAGCGUUAAUCGGAAUUACUGGGCGUAAAGCGUGCGCAGGCGGUUUUGUAAGCCAGAUGUGAAAUCCCCGGGCUUAACCUGGGAAUGGCAUUUGGGACUGCAAGGCUGGAGUAUGGCAGAGGGGACUAGAAUUCCUGGUGUAGCAGUGAAAUGCGUAGAUAUCAGGAGGAAUACCGAUGGCGAAGGCAGGUCCCUGGGCCAAUACUGACGCUCAUGCACGAAAGCGUGGGGAGCAAACAGG
Molecule: ribosomal RNA, 253 nt
Filed under: uncultured bacterium
Lineage: Bacteria
Description: partial 16S ribosomal RNA
Rfam family: Bacterial small subunit ribosomal RNA
Source: RNAcentral